This 274-nucleotide ribosomal RNA is filed under the name uncultured bacterium. RNAcentral's name for it is "partial 16S ribosomal RNA". It matches the Rfam family "Bacterial small subunit ribosomal RNA", at positions 523 to 796 of the family's 1533-position model. The record is from RNAcentral.
AUACGGAGGGUGCAAGCGUUAAUCGGAAUUACUGGGCGUAAAGCGUACGUAGGCGGCAAGUUAAGUUAGAUGUGAAAGCCCCGGGCUCAACCUGGGAACUGCAUUUAAAACUGGCUUGCUAGAGUUGAGUAGAGGGGAGUGGAAUUUCAGGUGUAGCGGUGAAAUGCGUAGAGAUCUGAAGGAACACCAGUGGCGAAGGCGACUCCCUGGACUCGAACUGACGCUGAGGUACGAAAGCGUGGGUAGCGAACAGGAUUAGAUACCCUAGUAGUCC